UACGGAGGGUGCGAGCGUUGUCCGGAAUCAUUGGGCGUAAAGCGGGUGUAGGUGGCUCUGUAAGUCAGAAGUGAAAUCCCCGAGCUUAACUCGGGAAGUGCUUUUGAAACUGCAGAGCUUGAAUGUGGGAGAGGAUCGUGGAAUUCCAGGUGUAGUGGUGAAAUACGUAGAUAUCUGGAGGAACACCGGUGGCGAAGGCGGCGAUCUGGCCCAACAUUGACACUGAGACCCGAAAGCGUGGGGAUCAAACAGG
Molecule: ribosomal RNA, 253 nt
Filed under: uncultured bacterium
Lineage: Bacteria
Description: partial 16S ribosomal RNA
Rfam family: Bacterial small subunit ribosomal RNA
Source: RNAcentral